AACGAACGCUGGCGGCAUGCCUAACACAUGCAAGUCGAACGAGACCUUCGGGUCUAGUGGCGCACGGGUGCGUAACGCGUGGGAACCUGCCCUUAGGUUCGGAAUAACUCCCCGAAAGGGGUGCUAAUACCGGAUAAUGUCUUCGGACCAAAGAUUUAUCGCCUUUGGAUGGGCCCGCGUUGGAUUAGCUAGUUGGUAGGGUAAAAGCCUACCAAGGCGACGAUCCAUAGCUGGUCUGAGAGGAUGAUCAGCCACACUGGGACUGAGACACGGCCCAGACUCCUACGGGAGGCAGCAGUGGGGAAUAUUGGACAAUGGGCGAAAGCCUGAUCCAGCAAUGCCGCGUGAGUGAUGAAGGCCUUAGGGUUGUAAAGCUCUUUUACCCGGGAUGAUAAUGACAGUACCGAGAGAAUAAGCUCCGGCUAACUCCGCG
Molecule: ribosomal RNA, 433 nt
Filed under: uncultured bacterium
Lineage: Bacteria
Description: partial 16S ribosomal RNA
Rfam family: Bacterial small subunit ribosomal RNA
Source: RNAcentral